This 1835-nucleotide ribosomal RNA is filed under the name human oral metagenome. Its description in RNAcentral is "bacterial LSU rRNA". It matches the Rfam family "Bacterial large subunit ribosomal RNA", at positions 1101 to 2925 of the family's 2925-position model. The record is from RNAcentral.
UUGGCUCAGAAGCAGCCACCAUUUAAAGAGUGCGUAAUAGCUCACUGGUCGAGAGACGCUGCGCCGAAAAUGUCCGGGGCUCAAGCACGGAACCGAAGCUAUGGCAUGAUAGCAAUAUCAUGGGUAGGGGAGCGUUCUUAUAAGGAAGAAGCAUGACCGGAAGGACAUGUGGACGAAUAAGAAGUGAGAAUGCCGGUAUGAGUAUCGAAAAGAAAGGUGAGAAUCCUUUCCACCGAAAGCCCGAGGGUUCCUGAGCAACGAUCGUCGACUCAGGGUAAGUCGGGACCUAAGCCGAGGCGAGAAGCGUAGGCGAUGGACAACAGGUUGAAAUUCCUGUACCGGAUCAAGUCGAUCGAGCGAAGGAGCGACGCAGGAGGGCACAUGAUCGCGCGGCUGGAAGAGCGCGUCCAAGUGCGUAUGUUGCAGCAGAGGAAAACCCCUGCAGCUAAAAGCAGAGACAUGAUGGGGAGUUAAAGGAAACUUUGACGAACUCAUGGAUCCCACACUGCCAAGAAAAACUUCUAGCGAGACAAGAUCCGCCCGUACCGUAAACCGACACAGGUAGGCGGGGAGAGAAUCCUAAGGUGCGCGGGAAAACCCUCGUUAAGGAACUCGGCAAAUUGCAUCCGUAACCUAGGGAGAAGGAUGGCCCCCGGUCAGUGAAGAGCAGAAACGCUCAGAGCUAAAAGGGGCGGCAGAAAAGAGGCCCAAGCAACUGUUUACCAAAAACACAGGUGCCUGCGAAAGCGAAAGCUGAAGUAUAGGUGCUGACGCCUGCCCGGUGCCGGAAGGUUAAGGAGAGAAGUUAGCGAAAGCGAAGCAUCGAACUGAAGCCCCGGUGAACGGCGGCCGUAACUAUAACGGUCCUAAGGUAGCGAAAUUCCUUGUCGGGUAAGUUCCGACCCGCAUGAAAGGCGUAAUGAUUUGGGCACUGUCUCAACGAGGGGCCCGGUGAAAUUGAAAUACCUGUGAAGAUGCAGGUUACCCGCGACUGGACAGAAAGACCCCAUGGAGCUUCACUGCAGCUUGAGAUUGAAUCCCGGUGACAGAUGCACAGGAUAGGUGGGAGGCGCCGAAGCAUUGCCCUAGGGCGGUGCGGAGCCGAUGUUGGGAUACCACCCUUCUGUUGCUGAGAUUCUAACGCGAGGAGUAACGACCCUGCGGACCCUCUCAGGCAGGCGGUUUGACUGGGGCGGUCGCCUCCGAAAGAGUAACGGAGGCGCCCAAAGGUUCCCUCAGGCCGGACAGAAACCGGCCGAAGAGUGCAAAGGCAGAAGGGAGCUUGACUGCGAGACCAACAAGUCGAGCAGGGACGAAAGUCGGGCUUAGUGAUCCGGUGGUACUGGGUGGAAAGGCCAUCGCUCAACGGAUAAAAGCUACCCUGGGGAUAACAGGCUAAUCUCUCCCAAGAGUCCAUAUCGACGGGGAGGUUUGGCACCUCGAUGUCGGCUCAUCACAUCCUGGGGCUGGAGUAGGUCCCAAGGGUUGGGCUGUUCGCCCAUUAAAGUGGUACGCGAGCUGGGUUCAAAACGUCGUGAGACAGUUUGGUUCAUAUCCAUCGCGGGCGCAAGAAGUUUGAGAGGAGCUGCUCCUAGUACGAGAGGACCGGAGUGGACGGAUCAACGGUGUCCCAGUUGUCACGCCAGUGGCACGGCUGGAAAGCCGCAUCCGGGAAGGAUAAACGCUGAAAGCAUCUAAGCGUGAAGCCAACCUCAAGAUGAGACUUCUCAUCAGCAAUGAGUAAGACCCCUUACAGACGAUGAGGUAGAUAGGUUAUGAGUGGAAGAGCCGCAAGGCUUGGAGCGACAUAAAACUAAUAGGUCGAGGUCUUAACU